GACUUUUUGAAAGCGCAGUAGGCUUUCCAUUAUCAGCCUCAUACAUAUUUUGUUGUACGCUCUUUGGCUUCAUGAUAUAAAACAGUACAUGGUAAGAAGACAAUGUUUUUAAUCGUAAAUUCUCAGUUCUACAGAAUGGAGUUUUGAAAUUUUCUUAAUACAUCAAAUCGAGUCUCGCCACAGCUGCCGAAGUCGACUCUACCUCAUAACUCAGCUCAGAGAUGCUGUCGAUCGAAUUCUCACGAGCAUUGCCAAACAAACCUAGACUGUCCAUGGAGAGGCUCGGCUUGCAGAAAAUUGGACUCGAAAAUGAAGAUAGUUGGGCUGAACACAUUGGACUCGAUUUACUUGACGAGUCUGUUGUUGACUGCAAACCGAAUUGAAUUUGAUUAUAAUAGAAUAAAUUAUUCAUAAUACACAGUAAAUUCAAUACGAA
Molecule: long non-coding RNA, 436 nt
Organism: Nilaparvata lugens (brown planthopper)
Lineage: Eukaryota; Metazoa; Arthropoda; Insecta; Hemiptera; Delphacidae
Exons: 2
Source: RefSeq, a predicted model, not a curated record